Molecule: ribosomal RNA, 465 nt
Filed under: uncultured bacterium
Lineage: Bacteria
Description: partial 16S ribosomal RNA
Rfam family: Bacterial small subunit ribosomal RNA
Source: RNAcentral
GAUGAACGCUGGCGGCGUGCUUAACACAUGCAAGUCGAACGAUGAAGCCCAGCUUGCUGGGUGGAUUAGUGGUGAACGGGUGAGUAACACGUGAGUAACCUGCCCUUGACUCUAGGAUAAGCCCGGGAAACUGGGUCUAAUACUGGAUAGGAACGUCUUCCGCAUGGUGGGUGUUGGAAAGAAUUUCGGUCAUGGAUGGACUCGCGGCCUAUCAGCUUGUUGGUGAGGUAAUGGCUCACCAAGGCGACGACGGGUAGCCGGCCUGAGAGGGUGACCGGCCACACUGGGACUGAGACACGGCCCAGACUCCUACGGGAGGCAGCAGUGGGGAAUAUUGCACAAUGGGCGAAAGCCUGAUGCAGCGACGCCGCGUGAGGGAUGACGGCCUUCGGGUUGUAAACCUCUUUCAGUAGGGAAGAAGCGAAAGUGACGGUACCUGCAGAAGAAGCACCGGCUAACUACGUG